AUGGAUGAUGAUAUUUAUAUGAUGGUGGAUACUCCCUCUGAGACCAGUCAAGAUUUCUUAUCAAUUUUUACCAGUGAUACGGAGGAUCAAAGGACUUCUUCAUGUCGCAAUGAUGUACAGAGCUCAAAUAUGAUGUCACAAAUACUACUAUCAAAUUCUGAGAAUGUUCCACCAGGUAAAGAAGCCAAUAUUAAUGACCAAAUUGGUGAGUUUACAUUUGAGGGAACAUCGCCCUCUUCAGUAUGGGGGAUGAUUUCUUCUGCUAUGGUGGAAGCAUGUGAAAAAAUGUAUAACGAACAUGGGCAUCUGGUAUUCUCAUGCACACACAGCAGCGAAAAUUAUUUAUUAAACAAGGGGAGGGGAUGUCAGAACUUUGAUGGUCCUUACGCUCCCUUAACUAGAUUUUGCUCAUCCAAUGGCCCCAGUAUACCACGAGUUACAGAAAAGAAGAAUGAUGUGGAAUCUACUUAUACAUUACUGAAGAAUUGGUUAUGCCAUGAUAGAAUUGGGCUUGAUUUGGAAUUUGUUCAAGAAAUUGUGGAGUCUCUUCCUAGAUCCAGGUCUUGCAUAAACUACCAGUUCUUGUGCAAUAGGGCAGAAUUUCGUUCUUCUGUAACAGUUGCAAGUGGUUUACUUUUAUCUGUGCAUAAAGAUGGUCAAAGUAAUGUAGAUACACCAUAUGGUAGACAUGGUGGGGUGACUGGGCUACACGAUCCUGCUCAGCCCAGCGGUUCUAGCAUCCGCAAGCUACCUCCGGGGCGUCCUAUUAGCCAUAAGCUUCAACCAGAAUCGGCGGCAGAUGUUUUCCAGGUAGCUCUUUACAUAUCUUUCACUGUUUCUACUAUUUGA
This 849-nucleotide ribosomal RNA is filed under the name Triticum aestivum (bread wheat). RNAcentral's name for it is "partial small subunit ribosomal RNA". Lineage: Eukaryota; Viridiplantae; Streptophyta; Magnoliopsida; Poales; Poaceae. The record is from RNAcentral.